CCGAAAGCCUAGAUCUUGCUUGAUUAAUGUAGCCUUUGAGAUUCUCAGCUUCUUGGCAGUGUGUCCCUAAAGAUUCUCUUUCUUCUCCAAGAUACAGAGGAGUAAACAGGUAACUGAAGUAACACAUUCUCAAGAAGUCAAGCUCCAAGGGGCUGCUGGGUGUAAAUAUAUCCUGAAGAUUAGUAUUUAUAAUGUUGAGAUUUGGGCAGCAUCUCAUCAAGCCCUCUGUGGUCUUCCUGAAGACGGAGCUCUCCUUUGCUCUCGUGAACCGGAAGCCAGUCGUCCCAGGGCGUAUCCUUUCAACCAGAGCCUCAAUCAUGAGCGCGUAUGGGCCGUUCAGCGUUCUGUGGAAAAGUGGGAGAUACUCUGCGCGUUCUGAAGGCCAGUGGACAGAAGAGUAUCCAUAUCUUGCAAAACCUUGGGUGUGAUUGUUCAAACUUGUAGUUGCUCUACUGAAAUCCAAGAUGCUACAUUUGCUUGCUGAACUGGGGCUACAGAGCAACUGAAGAGAAGAUUUCUUCAGAAACAGUACCUGACCACUUUCUUCCAAAGCUCUGUGCCAUAUAAUAUCAAAGACUUAGAAAAAGGGGAAAGGUGAAACUUGUGUGUUGACCAUAAAGUUUGUUGCUUUCAGAAAAAUAGAAGGGAAGCAUAAUAACCUCAAUGUGUGAGGAUGCACAGUCACCCGAUGUACUUCAAAAACAUUCUCUAUGUCUUCAUUUAUCAUCAUUAUAAAGUGUUUCCAAAAGAGUGAAUUUACCUUUAUCAAGUUACGAAAGGAAUUUGCCUUCAUGCAUCCUUAC
RNAcentral lists this long non-coding RNA (803 nucleotides) under Apteryx owenii (little spotted kiwi). RNAcentral describes it as "lncRNA (ENSAOWG00000015165.1)". The record is from RNAcentral. Lineage: Eukaryota; Metazoa; Chordata; Aves; Apterygiformes; Apterygidae.